UCCCCCCCCUCGUCGUGCCCCUUGCCCUCCCCCACCGACCUGCAGAACGCGAAGAACCUUACCAACCCUUGACAUGGGACGUAUGGACUUCAGAGAUGAGGUUCUUCAGUUCGGCUGGCGUCCACACAGGUGCUGCAUGGCUGUCGUCAGCUCGUGUCGUGAGAUGUUGGGUUAAGUCCCGCAACGAGCGCAACCCUCAUCUUCAGUUGCCAUCAUUUAGUUGGGCACUCUGAAGAAACUGCCGGUGACAAGCCGGAGGAAGGCGGGGAUGACGUCAAGUCCUCAUGGCCCUUACGGGUUGGGCUACACACGUGCUACAAUGGUGGUGACAAUGGGGAGCGAGGCCGCGAGGCCAAGCCAAUCUCAAAAAGCCAUCUCAGUUCGGAUUGCACUCUGCAACUCGAGUGCAUGAAGUUGGAAUCGCUAGUAAUCGCGCAUCAGCAUGGCGCGGUGAAUACGUUCCCGGGUCUUGUACACACCG
This 481-nucleotide ribosomal RNA is filed under the name uncultured bacterium. RNAcentral describes it as "bacterial SSU rRNA". It matches the Rfam family "Bacterial small subunit ribosomal RNA", at positions 955 to 1392 of the family's 1533-position model. The record is from RNAcentral.